Molecule: unclassified non-coding RNA, 919 nt
Filed under: Arabidopsis thaliana (thale cress)
Lineage: Eukaryota; Viridiplantae; Streptophyta; Magnoliopsida; Brassicales; Brassicaceae
Source: RNAcentral
UUCCGAGGAAAGAAAUGGCUCUGAUACCUUUAAUACAGCAAAUUUCUGAUUCUCUGUAACCUCCGAUUACAAAGAUGAUCGAAUCGAUGUUCAUAAAACACCCAAACAAUCCACUAGAUCUCGAAGUGAGAUUUCUAGCCACAAAAUGUUCUCAGAGAUUCUAAGGAAUUACAGAUAUUCGAUAAAAGUAAAGGAAUGAGCUAAAACAGUGCUCAUAUAGUCGGCUAACGGCAUCUUUCAGUCCCUCACUCUGCAGAUGACACGUGCUCGCCUCUUAUUCUUUCCCAAUUCCCACUUGAUGUCGCACGUGACUACUCACACGUGUGGUUUUGUAUCAUACUUGUUGGAUAAGUUGUGUUGUUUCACUGAAAAGUCACAAAUAGGAAGUGACACACCAACAAGUUUCAGUUCAAUAAAGGGUACAACGUCUAUCCGACCAGUUGAGCGAAGAAAUACUCCACCGAUCUCCGUCGAUGUCCAUAACCAGGAAGAAUCGGAAGAGAAGCCUCUCGUCUCUAAGAAAGGGCCACCUCUGUCACGCUAAUCGGAAUCCACACCACUCCAAUGCCGGAGAAGAUAGCUUGCCUCACUCCUGCUUCGUCUUGUAAAUCCAAGACCUACGAUAAAGAACAGAGGCGAAAACAAACUAGAUCUAAGAACUUGGAAAAAGCUUUAAAGAGAGAGAGAAAAAGGAACGGUAGAGGAACGAUUGUCCUUCCCGUUUGUGUUAUGUUGACUAAUUCAAUAUAUUUGGUUUAUAUCGAAUUUUUUACUUUAGUUGUACAUGAGCUUUGACAAAAAAAAAAAUUUUAAUUUAAAACAAAUUCUUCGUUAACAUCCCAAAUGGGCUUUGACAAAGAUUUGAUUUUCUUGUAUCAUUAUCUUCUAAGAAUAUAUGAUUUAGGCGUUUGAGUGUAGA